AAAAGCCCCCCUAGUUUGUUGGAGAGAGAUAUUCAGCCCACCCGGGAAAUGGGAACCCGGUCCAGACUUCCUCACGGGGGGCCACCGUGGGGAAUUUUCCCCAAUGGAGGAAAUCUUGGAUCCAGCAACGCCGCGUGGGAGGAUGACGCAUUUCGGGGUGUAAACUCCUUUUUAUAUGGGAAGAUAAUGCCGGUACCAUAUGAAUAAGCACCGGCUUAAUUCCGUGCCCAGCAGCCGCGGUAAUACGGAGGGUGCAAGCGUUACUCGGAAUCACUGGGCGUAAAGCGCGCGCAGGCGGCCUGAUAAGUUGGAUGUGAAAGCCUACGGCUCAACCGUAGAACUGCAUCCAAAACUGUCAGGCUAGAGUGUGGGAGAGGAAGAUGGAAUUAGUUGUGUAGGGGUAAAAUCCGUAGAGAUAACUAGGAAUACCAAAAGCGAAGGCAAUCUUCUGGAACACUACUGACGCUGAGGCGCGAAAGCGUGGGGAGCAAACGGGAUUAGAUACCCCGGUAGUCCACGCAGUAAACGAUGAAUGUUAGUCGUCGGGUAGCUAGUCUAUUCGGUGAUGCAGCUAACGCAUUAAACAUUCCGCCUGGGGAGUACGGUCGCAAGAUUAAAACUCAAAGGAAUAGACGGGGACCCGCACAAGUGGUGGAGCAUGUGGUUUAAUUCGAAGAUACGCGAAGAACCUUACCUGGCCUUGACAUAUUUUAGAACAUUUUAGAGAUAAGAUGGUGCCUUCGGGAGCUAAUAUACAGGUGCCGCACGGCUGUCGUCAGCUCGUGUCGUGAGAUGUUGGGUUAAGUCCCGCAACGAGCGCAACCCUCGUCACUAGUUACUAACGGUUCGGCCGAGGACUCUAGUGAGACUGCCUUCGCAAGGAGGAGGAAGGUGAGGACGACGUCAAGUCAUCAUGGCCCUUACGGCCAGGGCAACACACGUGCUACAAUGGUUAGGACAAUGAGACGCGAUACCGCGAGGUGGAGCAAAUCUAUAAACCUAAUCUCAGUUCGGAUUGUUCUCUGCAACUCGAGAGCAUGAAGCUGGAAUCACUAGUAAUCGUAGAUCAGCUAUGCUACGGUGAAUACGUUCCCGGGUCUUGUACUCACCGCCCGUCACACCAUGGGAGUUGAUUUCACCCGAAGCGGGGAAGCUAAACUGGCUACCCUCCACGGUGGAAUUAGCGACUGGGGUGAAGUCGUAACAAGGUACC
Molecule: ribosomal RNA, 1213 nt
Filed under: uncultured Campylobacterota bacterium
Lineage: Bacteria; Pseudomonadati; Campylobacterota
Description: bacterial SSU rRNA
Rfam family: Bacterial small subunit ribosomal RNA
Source: RNAcentral